Molecule: ribosomal RNA, 253 nt
Filed under: uncultured bacterium
Lineage: Bacteria
Description: partial 16S ribosomal RNA
Rfam family: Bacterial small subunit ribosomal RNA
Source: RNAcentral
CACGGGGGGAGCAAGCGUUGUUCGGAAUCACUGGGCGUAAAGGGCGUGUAGGCGGUCAGGUAAGUGGAAUGCGAAAGCCCUCGGCUCACCCGAGGAUCUGCAUUCCAAACUGCCUGGCUUGAGUAUGGGAGAGGAUGAGGGAAUUCCUGGUGUAGCGGUGAAAUGCGUAGAUAUCAGGAGGAACACCGGUGGCGAAGGCGCUCAUCUGGCCCAAUACUGACGCUGAGGCGCGAAAGCUAGGGGAGCAAACGGG